RNAcentral lists this ribosomal RNA (120 nucleotides) under uncultured bacterium. RNAcentral describes it as "partial 16S ribosomal RNA". It matches the Rfam family "Bacterial small subunit ribosomal RNA", at positions 1383 to 1500 of the family's 1533-position model. The record is from RNAcentral.
GUACACACCGCCCGUCACACCACGAAAGUUGGUAACACCCGAAGCCGGUGGCCUAACCCUUAGGGGAGGGAGCUGUCGAAGGUGGGACUGAUGAUUGGGGUGAAGUCGUAACAAGGUACC